AAAGUUUGACAGACAAUCGCUGGUGGCUUCGGCCACGAGAGGAAAGUCCGGGCUCCAUAGGGCAGGAUGCUGGAUAACGUCCAGUCAGCGCGAGCUGAAGGCUAGUGCCACAGAAAUGGACCGCCGAUGGCCAGCUGCAAAGCUGGCACAGGUAAGGGUGGAACCGUGGUGUAAGAGACCACGAGGAGCUAUGGUGACAUAGGUCCUGGUAAACCCCAUUUGGAGCAAGACCUAGAGGAACGCACGUCUCUUCCCUUGCGGGAGAGUCAGUCUUUGCCCGAGACGCGUUCGGGUUGGUCGCUUGAGCCAAUCAGCAAUGGUUGGCCUAGAUAGAUGAUUGUCGCUUCGAUGGUGGCAGGGUGGCCCCCGUUAUGACCACCGGAAGUACAGAACCCGGCUUACGGCAAACUUUCUUU
Molecule: RNase P RNA, 416 nt
Filed under: Paenibacillus cremeus
Lineage: Bacteria; Bacillati; Bacillota; Bacilli; Caryophanales; Paenibacillaceae
Description: Bacterial RNase P class A
Rfam family: Bacterial RNase P class A
About the family: Ribonuclease P (RNase P) is a ubiquitous endoribonuclease, found in archaea, bacteria and eukarya as well as chloroplasts and mitochondria. Its best characterised activity is the generation of mature 5'-ends of tRNAs by cleaving the 5'-leader elements of precursor-tRNAs.
Source: Rfam by way of RNAcentral